RNAcentral lists this ribosomal RNA (601 nucleotides) under uncultured bacterium. RNAcentral's name for it is "bacterial SSU rRNA". It matches the Rfam family "Bacterial small subunit ribosomal RNA", at positions 338 to 917 of the family's 1533-position model. The record is from RNAcentral.
CCUACGGGAGGCAGCAGUGGGGAAUCUUGCGCAAUGGGCGAAAGCCUGACGCAGCGACGCCGCGUGGGGGAAGAAGGCCUUAGGGUUGUAAACCUCUUUCAGGUGGGACGAAGCCACUCGGGUUAAUAGCCCAGAGGGUGACGGUACCGCCAGAAGAAGCCCCGGCUAACUACGUGCCAGCAGCCGCGGUAAUACGUAGGGGGCAAGCGUUGUCCGGAUUUAUUGGGCGUAAAAGAGCGUGUAGGCGGCUAGGUAGGUGGGUUGUGAAAACUGGAGGCUCAACCUUCAGACGUCGACCCAAACCCCCUGGCUAGAGUCCGGAAGAGGAGAGUGGAAUUCCUGGUGUAGCGGUGAAAUGCGCAGAUAUCAGGAAGAACACCCGUGGCGAAGGCGGCUCUCUGGGACGGUACUGACGCUGAGACGCGAAAGCGUGGGGAGCGAACAGGAUUAGAUACCCUGGUAGUCCACGCCGUAAACGAUGGGUGCUAGGUGUGGGGGGUGGUCGACUCCCCCCGUCGCCGAACGCUAACGACAUUAAGCACCCCGCCCUGGGGAGGUACGGCCGGCCAAGGCGUAAAACCUACAAAUAGAAUUAGACGGG